RNAcentral lists this ribosomal RNA (164 nucleotides) under uncultured bacterium. RNAcentral describes it as "partial 16S ribosomal RNA". It matches the Rfam family "Bacterial small subunit ribosomal RNA", at positions 355 to 511 of the family's 1533-position model. The record is from RNAcentral.
UAGGGAAUCUUCCACAAUGGGCGAAAGCCUGAUGGAGCAACGCCGCGUGUGUGAUGAAGGCUUUCGGGUCGUAAAGCUCUGUUGUUAAAGAAGAACACGUAUGAGAGUAACUGUUCAUACGUUGACGGUAUUUAACCAGAAAGUCACGGCUAACUACGUGCCAA